Unclassified non-coding RNA from Bison bison bison, 129 nucleotides. NCBI's taxonomy places the organism in Eukaryota, Metazoa, Chordata, Mammalia, Artiodactyla, Bovidae. The record is from Ensembl.
ACGGUGACGCCGGGAAAACAGAAUGGCGGCUAGUUUGGGAGGAAAGAAAACCCUUAGGGAAAUGCCCAGAUUCCGGUUGGAGAAUCCUGGCGCCGAAUGUGGAGGGUAGGGGGUGAGGAAGGUUUGGAU